RNAcentral lists this ribosomal RNA (253 nucleotides) under uncultured bacterium. RNAcentral describes it as "partial 16S ribosomal RNA". It matches the Rfam family "Bacterial small subunit ribosomal RNA", at positions 524 to 776 of the family's 1533-position model. The record is from RNAcentral.
UACGAGCGGCCCAAACGUUAUUCGGAAUUACUGGGCUUAAAGAGUUCGUAGGCGGCGCAGAAAGUAGGGUGUGAAAGCCCUCGGCUUAACCGAGGAAUUGCGCCCUAAACUACUGUGCUUGAGGAACCUAGAGGUGAGCAGAACUGAUGGUGGAGCGGUGAAAUGCGUUGAUAUCAUCAGGAAUACCGGAGGCGAAGGCGGCUCACUGGGGGUUUUCUGACGCUGAGGAACGAAAGCCAGGGGAGCGAACGGG